AGAGUUUGAUCAUGGCUCAGGAUGAACGCUAGCGGCAGGCUUAAUACAUGCAAGUCGGACGGUAACAGGUGCAGCAAUGCAUGCUGACGAGUGGCGCACGGGUGCGUAACACGUAUGCAACCUACCCUUAACCGGGACAUAACCCUUAGAAAUGGGGGCUAAUAUCCCAUGGUAUUAUGAUAAGGCAUCUUAUUAUAAUUAAAGAUUUAUUGGUUAAGGAUGGGCAUGCGUCCCAUUAGUUAGUUGGUGUGGUAACGGCACACCAAGACUGUGAUGGGUAGGGGUCCUGAGAGGGUUAUCCCCCACACUGGUACUGAGACACGGACCAGACCCCUACGGGAGGCAGCAGUAAGGAAUAUUGGGCAAUGGAGGCAACUCUGACCCAGCCAUGCCGCGUGCAGGAAGACGGCCCUAUGGGUUGUAAACUGCUUUUAAACGGGAAUAAUUCCACUUACGAGAUAGGUGGUUGCAAGUACCGUAAGAAUAAGCAUCGGCUAACUCCGUGCCAGCAGCCGCGGUAAUACGGAGGAUGCGAGCGUUAUCCGGAUUUAUUGGGUUUAAAGGGUGCGUAGGCUGAUACUUAAGUCAGUGGUGAAAUUUCCCGGCUCAACCGGGAGGCUGCCAUUGAUACUGUGUAUCUUGAGUUUAGAUGAUGUGGGCGGAAUGUGUCAUGUAGCGGUGAAAUGCAUAGAGAUGACACAGAACACCGAUAGCGAAGGCAGCUCACAAAGCUAUAACUGACGCUGAGGCACGAAAGCGUGGGGAUCAAACAGGAUUAGAUACCCUGGUAGUCCACGCCGUAAACGAUGAUCACUAGCUGUAGGCGAUACACAGUCUGUGGCUAAGCGAAAGCGAUAAGUGAUCCACCUGGGGAGUACGUCCGCAAGGAUGAAACUCAAAGGAAUUGACGGGGGCCCGCACAAGCGGAGGAGCAUGUGGUUUAAUUCGAUGAUACGCGAGGAACCUUACCUGGGCUUGAACGUAUGGUGCAUUAGGGUGAAAGCCCUAUUUCUAGCAAUAAACUUCAUACGAGGUGCUGCAUGGCUGUCGUCAGCUCGUGCCGUGAGGUGUUAGGUUAAGUCCUGCAACGAGCGCAACCCCUGUUUCCAGUUGCCAUCAAGUAAAGUUGGGGACUCUGGAGAGACUGCCUGCGCAAGCAGAGAGGAAGGUGGGGAUGACGUCAAGUCAGCACGGCCCUUACGUCCAGGGCUACACACGUGCUACAAUGGCCGGUACAGAGGGCAGCGACCUGGUGACAGGCAGCGAAUCUCCAAAGCCGGUCUCAGUUCGGAUCGGAGUCUGCAACUCGACUCCGUGAAGCUGGAUUCGCUAGUAAUCGGAUAUCAGCAAUGAUCCGGUGAAUACGUUCCCGGGCCUUGUACACACCGCCCGUCAAGCCAUGGGAGUUAGGGGUACCUGAAGUCGAUCACCGCAAGGAGUCGCCUAGGGUAAACCUGAUGACUGGGGCUAAGUCGUAACAAGGUAACC
Molecule: ribosomal RNA, 1488 nt
Filed under: uncultured bacterium
Lineage: Bacteria
Description: bacterial SSU rRNA
Rfam family: Bacterial small subunit ribosomal RNA
Source: RNAcentral